RNAcentral lists this ribosomal RNA (78 nucleotides) under Tricholoma scalpturatum. Its description in RNAcentral is "partial small subunit ribosomal RNA". Lineage: Eukaryota; Fungi; Basidiomycota; Agaricomycetes; Agaricales; Tricholomataceae. RNAcentral also lists the same sequence under 1 other name. The record is from RNAcentral.
UUGCAUAUCCAAUUAGGUUAUUUUGAAUAAGAAGAAACUAAUUGAGUAAUUUUUAUAAUAUUUAAAAAUUCGUUUACA